AUACGUAGGGAGCGAGCGUUGUCCGGAAUUACUGGGUGUAAAGGGUGCGUAGGCGGGACGGCAAGUCAGAUGUGAAAUACCGGGGCUCAACCCCGGGGCUGCAUUUGAAACUGUCGUUCUUGAGUGAGGUAGAGGUAAGCGGAAUUCCUAGUGUAGCGGUGAAAUGCGUAGAUAUUAGGAGGAACAUCGGUGGCGAAGGCGGCUUACUGGGCCUUUACUGACGCUGAGGCACGAAAGCGUGGGGAGCAAACAGGAUUAGAUACCCUGGUAGUCCACGCUGUAAACGAUGAUGACUAGGUGUGGGGGGACUGAACCCUUCCGUGCCGCAGUUAACACAAUAAGUCAUCCACCUGGGGAGUACGGCCGCAAGGUUGAAACUCAAAUGAAUUGACGGGG
RNAcentral lists this ribosomal RNA (396 nucleotides) under uncultured bacterium. RNAcentral's name for it is "partial 16S ribosomal RNA". It matches the Rfam family "Bacterial small subunit ribosomal RNA", at positions 523 to 918 of the family's 1533-position model. The record is from RNAcentral.